Molecule: long non-coding RNA, 1260 nt
Organism: Gasterosteus aculeatus aculeatus (three-spined stickleback)
Lineage: Eukaryota; Metazoa; Chordata; Actinopteri; Perciformes; Gasterosteidae
Source: Ensembl
UUAAGGGUCACGGACGCUCUCCAUCAGGCCGCCGACAGACAGAGGGACAGACAGACAGAGGGACAGACAGGCAGAGGGACGGACAGAGGGACAGACAGGCGAGGGACAGACGAGAGAGACAGACAGACAGAGGGACGGACGGACAGACAGACAGACAGACAGACAGACAGAGGGACGGACAGAGGGACAGACAGAGGGACAGACAGAGGGACGGACGGACAGACAGAGGGACAGACAGACAGAGGGACAGACAGAGAGACAGAGGGACAGACAGACAGAGGGACGGACAGACAGAGGGACAGACAGAGAGACAGAGGGACGGACAGUUUUACCCUGUUAAAGAGGGUUUGUUGUGGCUUAUUCGUUGUUGUUCUCACAGUGACUCAAACACACGUAAGACAAGAAGCUCCGUGAUGACGUGUACAAAUAAAUUAUGACGUAACACCGCCGUGAACGCCACGGGACAAAUUCCUCCCGUGCGUAAGUCCGAUAUCCCGCCAGCCGCACGGAGCCCCUGAGCUGGAGGACACACUGUGGGACACACUAUGGGACACACUGUGGGACACACUGUGGGACACACUGUGGGACACAUUGUGGGACACACUCGAUUGCUCUCGUCCAGAGACACGGAGAUGUGAGUGUGGUGUAAACUGGGACCUGCAAGGGUCAGAGGUCAAAGUGAAGAAUAUGUAACAAUAACAAUUUCUUUUACACCCUUAAACAAAUGAUUAAAAAUACAUAUCUGAGAGUCGUCCCUGAUGCAGGAAGUGUGGAAAUGAUAUUAAUAAUAUUUAGUUUUUCUAUAGUAGUUUUAGGGGGGGGGGGGGGGGGGCGUUUUAAAAUCAAAGUCUUGUUGCUGAUCAUUGACAUUUUAUUGACUGUGAACAAAAUGAUCAAUGUAAUUAUGUGAGCAAACUGACAUUUAAAGGGAUUCAAAUAUGAAGUGUAAUGAAUAUUUCAAAGUUAUGAUUGACUGAAGAUAAAAAUACAGUAUGAUAUUUCUAGUUUUGACAUUUAAAAAACCCUUUUCCCUAAAAAAAAAAAAGUGCAAUCUUUGAAACAAUGUGAAAUUGUCAAAGUGGUAAAAAUAUUAGAGAAUAUUUAAGUGUUAUUUCAUGUUAAGUGAGUAAGUGAGUAGGAAGUUAGAGUUCAUUGAAGAUUUUUAGUUUAGAGUCCCGCAACGUUUGAGACAAAAAAUGGCCGCUCGACUGCUGCAGUCAUCCAUUGGAGCCGUCGGCAACUUGACCAGGGAGCGCCCCC